CAUACCUUUCAACGAAUCUAGUACUCUACGAGUAACAGGUAUAAUAAACUUUUUUACCAGCGCAUUCUUGAAUGAGUUGAAGUAUUCAAUGAUACUAUUUUAUGACUUCCUUCGUAAACAUUUUGUUUUGAGACGUACACUUGGAGGAAAUUGAGAUUCUUGAAGAAGAUCGGAUGUUGAUGACCACUGAAUGCUAGAUGACUGGCUCAUCCUUAUCAUAAAGAAAACCCAUUGAGCUCACGCACAAAUGAGUCAAAUUUAAGGCGUAGCAGGAAAUAUAUUUCGCAAUAGUUAAGAUAGUCAAGUGUCGUUUACACAAAGAGUGUGCGACAUCUGCUGGAUCCCAGGCCAUCCAAUGUGGGUCAAGAUCAAUCUACUGAUCGCGUCAGUGAAUAAAAAUAGUAGCCAUUCGCUCCACUAUUUGAACGCCGAGAACUCUUCCACAUAAGUGUCUUCUGUGCCAAAUUACCAUAUGUAGCAAUUGACCCUAUUGUAUACUAAAUAUUUUCUUUAAUCAAACGCAGCAAUAAGCAUUAAUCAAUUAAAAGACGAGAGCUCGUUUGCCAAAUUAAAGUAUAGUUGGAAAUUAAAAAUCCAUUUCGCCGCAUGGGGAGGUCGGCGAAAAAUUUAAAAAUAUUCCAAAAUACGAUGAUGUAUACAUGAGAAAUACGGAUGUUAUGAGAAUGCUGGGCUAAUGAAAAACAGCUCAAAAGAUUCCAGGAAGAGCGAUCUCCAGCGUGGCGUUGCAUUGCGGCAGCAGCAACCAUGCAAUCGGCAACAAAACGCUUGUUUUGUAAUCACAGAACAACAACAAACUGCCGGCAUUCAAAAGAUCCAAAUGAUGCCAACAUAAAACAGCAGCCAGAACAGCAAAUCUUACAAAACAGCCCUAAAAGUCUGGAGGAGGCAAGUGGGCAAGUGAACUAGUGAGCAAGUGAGUUCCCCAAGGCGGCUGUUUAUAUUA
This is a long non-coding RNA of Drosophila teissieri, 964 nucleotides long. RefSeq lists it as uncharacterized. The transcript is spliced from 3 exons. The record is from RefSeq and is a predicted model, not a curated record. NCBI's taxonomy places the organism in Eukaryota, Metazoa, Arthropoda, Insecta, Diptera, Drosophilidae.